CAGCCGCCGCGGGAAUACGAAGGGGGCUAGCGUUGCUCGGAAUUACUGGGCGUAAAGGGCUCGCAGGCGGUUUCUUAAGUCUGAUGUGAAAGCCCCCGGCUCAACCGGGGAGGGUCAUUGGAAACUGGGAAACUUGAGUGCAGAAGAGGAGAGUGGAAUUCCACGUGUAGCGGUGAAAUGCGUAGAGAUGUGGAGGAACACCAGUGGCGAAGGCGACUCUCUGGUCUGUAACUGACGCUGAGGAGCGAAAGCGUGGGGAGCGAACAGGAUUAGAUACCCCUGUAGUCCCUGUCUCUUAUAC
RNAcentral lists this ribosomal RNA (301 nucleotides) under uncultured bacterium. RNAcentral's name for it is "partial 16S ribosomal RNA". It matches the Rfam family "Bacterial small subunit ribosomal RNA", at positions 509 to 807 of the family's 1533-position model. The record is from RNAcentral.